AUUCCACACUCAGUGCAUAUAAAGCAGAAACCAAGUCACUACAGAAGAAGUGAGGAUAAUAAAGGCAAGAAACAAACACAGCAAGGCAAACCCAAAGAAGCUGGAGAAAACCAAGCCACAACACACAUUAUGAGGGAUUUACCAUGGCACUGAAAAUAGUUUCUGAGGUGAAAUGCCAUUGAGACCUGGCUCGAAUUAAGCUGCGGAAGUUGUUUUCAGCGCUGCAGCUCAACUCUUAAAAACAUGAGAAUCAACUGUGACAGCCAGGACCUCUUCUGAACCAAAGUAAGACACUUUUCAGUUUAGGUAGGUACUGCUUAAGUAUUUGUACAACUGCAGUGCUUAAGUCUCCAUGGUAUCUUUGCAAGGGAGAAGGAUGG
Molecule: long non-coding RNA, 380 nt
Organism: Lacerta agilis (Sand lizard)
Lineage: Eukaryota; Metazoa; Chordata; Lepidosauria; Squamata; Lacertidae
Exons: 3
Source: RefSeq, a predicted model, not a curated record